UUCUUUUUUAAUAAAAACAUAAAUUUGUGUAGUAUGGCAUACAUACAGAAGUAUAUGAAAACAUGUAGUAUUUAAAGAAGCACAGCUCGAACACAUGUGCACACUCCACUCAGGACAAGAAAUGGCAUGCUUCACGGUCCCGGACGCCCCUUCCUCCCCGCCUGCCCCUGCUGAGACCUGACCACAGGCCUUCCCUCCCUCCUUCCCCCUCCACCCACGACCCUUGCCAGAGGCAACAACUAUUCUCAUUUUUUUUUUUUUUGGAAGAUUUUUUUAUCUAACGUCACAAGUAGGCAGGGGUCGGGGGCUGGGAAGCAGGCUCCCUGCCGGAGCAGAGAGCCCAAUGCAGGACUCGAUCCCCGGACCCCAGGAUCACGACCCGAGCCAAAGGCAGAGGCCUAACCCACUGAGCCACCCAGGCGCCCCCUCAAUUUUGUUUUUACACUUCCUUUAUUUUCUGACCCUGGAAGGUCGUGUGAACCUUGGGCAAGUGGUGAGCUAAUCUUUCUCACCUGUGCAAUAAGACCGUUACUCAGUUGUAGUUUUACCAUAUCCUAAACAACACAUUUAUUUGAGUUUUACCGUAUCUUAUCCUAAACAACACAUUUAUUUGCUUGUUCCUGAACUUAAUGUAAGUGGAGUCAGGUCUGUUUUUCCAUGGUAUCUUUUGCUUAAUGUUAUUUUUUCAAUUGAUCCAUGUUAAUGCUGUAACUCAUUCAUGUUUUAAUUAAUAGACAUUUUUCAGAUUUUAUUUAUUUGAGAGAGAGUACGAGUGGGAGUGGGGGCGUAGAGGGAGUGGGAAGGAGAGGACCCCAAGCGGACUCCUUGCCGACUAUAGAGCCCCACACGGGGCUUAACCUCACAACCCCGAGAUCAUGACCUGAUCCAAAACCAGGAGUUGGAUGCUUAACUGACUGAGCCACCCAAGCCCCUUUCCCAUCCCCCAAUGCAUUAUGGACUUAAUAACAUCCAUAGUUUACUUACAUGUUCUUAGUUUUUACCUGGUGCCCUUUUUCUGUUUCAGGAUCCCAUCCGGGAUAGUACAACACAUGUAGUUAUCAUUUCUCCUAAGCCUCCUCUUGGCUGUGAAAGUUUCUCAGACUUGUUUUUGAUGACCUUGACGAUUUGGGGGAGGACUGGUCAGGGAUUUUGUAGGACGCCUCAUUCAUUUUUCAUUGCUAUAUGAUAUAAUUCCAUUGCUAUGUAAUAAUAUAUAAUCAUCUAGUGUAUAAUGUUUGGUUGUAACACCCACACCUUACUAAUUCUUCCACUGAUGGACAUUUCAGUUUCUGAUCCUUGUUUCAAACAGUGCUGUUAUAUAUACUUUUGUAUGUGUCUUUUUUUUUUUUUUUAAGAUUUUAUUUAUUUGACAGAGACACAGCAGGAGUGGGAACAUCAGCAGGGGAAGUGGGAGAGGGAGAAACGGGCUUCCUGCCAAGCAGGGAGCCCGAUGCGGGGCUCCAUCCCAGGACCCUGGGAUCACAACCUGAGAUGAAGGCAGAUGCUUAAUGACUGAGCCACCCAGGUGUCCCUUGUAUGUGUCUCAUAAGCACACAUUUCCGUAGGGUUAUAUAUCCAGAGGCGGAAUUGGUGGGUACAGGGUAUAGACAUGUUCAGUUUUACUAGUUACUAUCAAACUGUUUUCCAAAGAAGCUGUAUACAUUUACACGUACAGCUGCAGUCCUUUGGGCCACCUGGGUGGCUCAGUUGGUUAGCUGUCUGCCUUUGGCUCAGGUCAUGAUCUCUGUGUUCUCACAUCGGGCUCCCUGGUCAGUGGGGAGUCUGCUUCUCCCUCUCCUGAUCCUCCUACCCCACUUGUUCUUGCCUUCUGUCUCAAAUAAAUAAAACCUUAAAAAAAAAACAAAAACUGCUGUUCUUUGUCCCACUUCCUCGCUAGCAUUUGAUCUUACCCUUAAUUUUUUGCAACAGAGUAGGUGUGAGAUGAUACAAUGUUUUUAGUUUAUGUUUUUCUGUUUUAUGACAAGAUUGAACAUCGUUUCAUAUGUUUAGGAACUAUUUGUGUUCCCUCUUCUAUAAAAUCUACCCCCCCACUUUUCUAUUGGGUCGUUUAUUUUUCUCUUUUUAAUUCACAGAAAUUCUUUAUAUAUUCUAGAUAUAAUUCAGAACAGGAGUGGCAAAAAUUUUCCAGUUUAUGGUUUGCGUUUUCAUUCUCUUUAUAGUAUCUUUUGAUUAACACAGGUCUUAAUUUUAAUGUAAAUUAUAAAUCUUUUUCUUUAGUUGUAUAGAAAUAGAAAAUAGUAUUUAUAGAAAAGUUUGUAUUUUCUUUUUUUUUUUUAAGAUUUAUUUAUUUGUUUUAGAGAGAGAGAAAGAGUGGGGAGGGGCGGAGGGGGAGGGAGAGAGCGAAUCUCAAGCAGACUCCAUGGUGAGCGUGGAGCCCGAGGCAGGGCUUGAUCUCAGCACCCUGAGAUCAUGACCUGAACUGAAACGAAGAGUCAGGUGCUUAACCAACUGAGCCACCCAGGCACCCUGUAGUUGUUAUUUUCUUAGGAAAUAUGUAUCUCAGAGCAAAAAUCUUUUCUCCCAUUCGUGUGUUAUAAGAUAGGGACCCUUUUUUUUUUUUUAAUUUUCUAAAGAUUUUUAUUAAUUUAUUUGUCAGAGAGCACAAGCAGGGGGAGCAGCAGGCAGAGGGAGAAGCAGGUUCCCUGCUGAGCCGGGAGCCUGACUUGGGGCUCCACCCCAGGACCCCAGGAUCAUGACCAGAGCAGAAGGCAGACGCUUAACGAACUGAGCCACCCAGGCAGGUUUAGAAUUCUAGGUUGCCAGUAAUUUUCAGCCUGUGAAGCUGUCGUGCGGGUUUUCCGGCCUCCGCGGGUCCCUCGAAGCCAGCGGGGUCACUCGUGGAGAGAUUUUGGACUUUGUGUAUACUGCACUUGGUUUCCACGGUGCCCGGAGAUUUCUGUUGAUCUCUGCAGUCCCAGUUCCCUCAUUGUCAUCGCUGGGGAGUCAUCUGAACCUGUCUCAGAGGCCACGUACUUGUUGCCCUGCUGUUGGUCCCUUCGGUUUGUUCUGAUGCUUUGAUAAACGUGCCGGCGGGACUCCUCCAGCACCGGUGAGGGCUUCUCGCAGAUGGGCAGGAGCGGGCCCGCCGGGCGGUGCGGGGAGGUCCGUGCUUGUGCGCGGUGUAGCGGAGACGGCAGUUCCCCGCCUCCUUGGUGGCACAGGGCCCAUUGGUCAGCUGAUGGGCACCACCGCCGUCUCACUGGGAUUUGGCCUGUGGGGCUGUACGUCUCUUAUUUAUAAGCCAUUCUCGUUUUCUUUUGCCUGGGGCAUUUAGCCAUUUUCCUUUUGGCGGCUUUGUUUCAUUUUUCAAAUUUUUUGAUUCAUUUACAACUGACUGGGCAGAAGGGGGAUUCAGCUGUUUUCUCAAGAUGACCAACAACUGAGCAAAUGCCCCAGCUCCGACCUACUGAGCUGAACUACCAGCUUCCUCACACUCUCACACACCAGCUUUUCUCCUAUUUGACUAAAAUGUGCGCCGGUAUCUUCAUUUAUCAUUAAUAUAUGAAUUUCCUAUCACCACGAUGUCCGUUCCCUCCGAAUUAUUAAACUUCCCUAAGAACAGGAUCUUACCACGGACCUAGGGAGACUCUCGGGGCUUUCUGUUCUCUUGCAGGCGUCGCCCCGCCGGCCGCCUGGGCGCAGAGACGGCCGGAGUGUCGAGUAGCGGGCACAAGGGCGAGCGGCAUUCGGGCUGCGUCAGGACUGCUCGUUCCGUUUUCAGUAGGUCAUGAAAUGGGAAUUAUGGAAACGGACUUUUUCCUUCCGUCAAGAAUGGAUGUUAGUUUAUCAAAUUUUUAUCAACUAUUUCUUCCUUCUCUGUGGUUGCUAGGAUUUGUGCCUUUUAUUAGGUUUAUCCUUGCCUAUCCUUGCCUCACUGCCUUUUUUUUUUUUUUUAAUGAUAAAAGAAUCAUUGUAGGUUAUUUGGAAAGUAGAGAAAUGCCCCAGCUCAAACCCAUGCCUGCUAGAGCGGCACGAAAUGACCCUCAAGCGGACGAAUCCGCUGCUGCAGCCGCAGUGCGGGAUUUUACCUUUUCCAUCUGAACAGCAUGCGAAGCCUCUCUCCCCUGGCACCAUCUCCAAGAUGCUGACAACUUUUCAAAACAUCUUUCUGCAAACCCAAUGACAAGACAUGCCGUUUGCCCCACACCUGAGCUGUGUGACAUACGAGCACAUCUCCUUCCCGGAAAGUCAAGUCUGAGACCUCCCCCCACCGGAAGGUAAAAACCCUUUGGGGUGCGGGGCUGGAGGCCCUCAAUGCCCCUCACCCCUUCCUCCCGCCGGAGAACAGUCAGCACCACACCGUGAACUUAUCAUAGAAUAGAUUUAUUUACCCGAAACCAUGUCUGUGCAAUGCUUGUUACCAGCACAGAAACAGACAACUGAUCUCUAUUUACAGUCUAAGUCAAACAUGCUUUGUGAUAAAUUGACGGUUAGCAUUUUAUUAAGAUAAAUGCAUCACAAAAGUCGUAUUGCACCAA
Mustela lutreola (European mink) is the source of this 4499-nucleotide long non-coding RNA. RefSeq lists it as uncharacterized. The transcript is spliced from 3 exons. Lineage: Eukaryota; Metazoa; Chordata; Mammalia; Carnivora; Mustelidae. The record is from RefSeq and is a predicted model, not a curated record.